This 72-nucleotide transfer RNA is filed under the name Methanoregula boonei 6A8. RNAcentral describes it as "tRNA-Ala (GGC) (tRNA-Ala-GGC-1-1)". It matches the Rfam family "tRNA". Rfam says of the family: Transfer RNA (tRNA) molecules are approximately 80 nucleotides in length. RNAcentral also lists the same sequence under 4 other names. The record is from Rfam by way of RNAcentral. Lineage: Archaea; Methanobacteriati; Methanobacteriota; Methanomicrobia; Methanomicrobiales; Methanoregulaceae.
GGGCUGGUGGUAAAGUGGUAUUACGCUCCCUUGGCAUGGGAGAGGCCGCGGGUUCAAUUCCCGCCCAGUCCA